GGUUUGAUGACGUAACGACAGCUCAGCGUCAGUGUAGUCGUUUUACGGCAGAGCGUGCUGCUGGAGGUCAGGGGUUUGAAAAGAAGCCUAGCAGUCUGUAACGAAAACCUUGUGUUUUCACUGGUAAAACUCACUUAGGGUUCAAAAUACACAUUGACAGGACAGCGUAUGUUGGUGUCGGUGAAUCCAGCAGCCCAUCGUUUGUCUUGGAUUUUCAGUAUUGCGACAUAGCUAGCCUUGCUAACGUUAGCCAGAUCGGUUUGGCUAGCAGCUCCCUGCUAGCUUCAGUGCUUGACCCCUCGGAUCUUUUACAGCCAUGGACAACAGCUCACAAGGAUCGGGAGGAAUGAAAGGAGGUAUCGGGGGUCUCUUUGGAGGCGGUGCACCUGAAUACUCCAACACGGAGCUCGCCGGUGUUCCCUUGACUGGAAUGAGUCCUCUGUCCCCUUACCUCAAUGUCGACCCUCGUUACCUGAUUCAGGACACAGAUGAGUUCAUUCUACCCACAGGUGCCAAUAAAACAAGAGGGAGGUUUGAACUGGCUUUCUUUACCAUUGGAGGAUCCUGCAUGACUGGAGCAGCACUUGGAGCUGUAAAUGGUCUCAGGGUGAGCCUGAAGGAGACUAGAGACAUGGGAUGGUCCAAACCUCGUAAUGUGCAGAUUCUCAACAUGGUGACCAGACAGGGUGCUUCAUGGGCCAACUCUUUAGGCUCAGUAGCCUUGUUAUAUAGUGUUUUUGGUGUAGCGAUAGAGAAGGCCAGAGGAGCAGAAGAUGACAUCAACACAAUGGCUGCUGGGACGCUAACGGGGAUGCUUUUCAAAUCAGCCAGUGGCCUAAAGGGUGUGGCACGAGGAGGUCUGGCUGGUUUAGCCUUGUCUGGUGCCUACGCUCUUUACAACAACUGGGACCACCUCACCGGCUCCUCAUCCUCCUCCUCCAGGCUAUACUAACCCUCUCCCACACACAUCUGCUUCUACAUUAGGGCCAAAUAACUCCCCAGGACACAGCCUUUAACCACAGGAGAUUGGACUAAAUUCCACUGGGAGUCCAGAUGUAGACCGUCCAACAACACCCCUCUCUUCAUUUGUUUUUAUCCUCUGAGGUGUUCCUGUCCCUGAUCUGAUCAGUAAUGAGAAGACUCUGUGAGGAUGUUUUUAUAGAGGUGUCUCAUUUGUUAUAUCAUUGUUUAUCGGAGGCUUAUUAGUCUUCAUUGAUGCUCGUUCUGAAAUCAAUGAACCCAUGAUAUUUGGGUUAAAAAAGCCAAUGUGUAAAAUGACUUGUCACAUCUGGUGUGUGUGGUUCACCGGAUGAACGGCAGUGGAUUCAUGUACUGAUUCUGGACUGAAAGACUCUUCUGUAGUAGAAGAGCAAAGAGAUUUUCAACUAUGAUCUACAAACGCAGAACUAAGCCUUAUGGUUCUACUCUAUGUAUUUAUUGAAGCGUAUAAGCAGUGGUCUCUGUUUAACUGUGCAAGAAGAAAUCACUGUAAAGCAGUUUGUGUCUCCAUCAAACCCACUGUAUUAAAUGCUAUAUUAAAGGAAA
This is an RNA transcript of Sander lucioperca (pikeperch), 1545 nucleotides long. It is a transcript of the gene named translocase of inner mitochondrial membrane 23 homolog a (yeast), with no coding region annotated. NCBI's taxonomy places the organism in Eukaryota, Metazoa, Chordata, Actinopteri, Perciformes, Percidae. The record is from RefSeq and is a predicted model, not a curated record. The transcript is spliced from 8 exons.